CGCGGUAAUACGGAGGGUGCAAGCGUUAAUCGGAAUUACUGGGCGUAAAGCGCACGCAGGCGGUCUGUCAAGUCGGAUGUGAAAUCCCCGGGCUCAACCUGGGAACUGCAUUCGAAACUGGCAGGCUUGAGUCUUGUAGAGGGGGGUAGAAUUCCAGGUGUAGCGGUGAAAUGCGUAGAGAUCUGGAGGAAUACCGGUGGCGAAGGCGGCCCCCUGGACAAAGACUGACGCUCAGGUGCGAAAGCGUGGGGAGCAAACAGGAUUAGAUACCCUGGUAGUCCACGCCGUAAACGAUGUCUACUUGGAGGUUGUGCCCUUGAGGCGUGGCUUCCGGAGCUAACGCGUUAAGUAGACCGCCUGGGGAGUACGGCCGCAAGGUUAAAACUCAAAUGAAUUGACGGGGGCCCGCACAAGCGGUGGAGCAUGUGGUUUAAUUCGAUGCAACGCGAAGAACCUUACCUGGUCUUGACAUCCACAGAAGAAUCCAGAGAUGGAUUUGUGCCUUCGGGAACUGUGAGACAGGUGCUGCAUGGCUGUCGUCAGCUCGUGUUGUGAAAUGUUGGGUUAAGUCCCGCAACGAGCGCAACCCUUAUCCUUUGUUGCCAGCGGUUAGGCCGGGAACUCAAAGGAGACUGCCAGUGAUAAACUGGAGGAAGGUGGGGAUGACGUCAAGUCAUCAUGGCCCUUACGACCAGGGCUACACACGUGCUACAAUGGCGCAUACAAAGAGAAGCGACCUCGCGAGAGCAAGCGGACCUCAUAAAGUGCGUCGUAGUCCGGAUUGGAGUCUGCAACUCGACUCCAUGAAGUCGGAAUCGCUAGUAAUCGUGGAUCAGAAUGCCACGGUGAAUACGUUCCCGGGCCUUGUACACACCGCCCGUCACACCAUGGGAGUGGGUUGCAAAAGAAGUAGGUAGCUUAACCUUCGGGAGGGCGCUUACCACUUUGUGAUUCAUGACUGGGGUGAAGUCGUAACAAGGUAACCGUAGGGGAACCUGCGGUUGGAUCACCUCCUUACCUUAAAGAA
RNAcentral lists this ribosomal RNA (1027 nucleotides) under Salmonella enterica subsp. enterica serovar Enteritidis. Its description in RNAcentral is "bacterial SSU rRNA". It matches the Rfam family "Bacterial small subunit ribosomal RNA", at positions 516 to 1533 of the family's 1533-position model. The record is from RNAcentral. Lineage: Bacteria; Pseudomonadati; Pseudomonadota; Gammaproteobacteria; Enterobacterales; Enterobacteriaceae.